GCGGAUGUAACUCAGUUGGUAGAGUAACAGCCUUCCAAGCUGUAUGUCGCGAGUUCGAAUCUCGUCGUCCGCU
RNAcentral lists this transfer RNA (73 nucleotides) under Bacteroides sp. RNAcentral describes it as "tRNA-Gly". It matches the Rfam family "tRNA". Rfam says of the family: Transfer RNA (tRNA) molecules are approximately 80 nucleotides in length. Their secondary structure includes four short double-helical elements and three loops (D, anti-codon, and T loops). Further hydrogen bonds mediate the characteristic L-shaped molecular structure. tRNAs have two regions of fundamental functional importance: the anti-codon, which is responsible for specific mRNA codon recognition, and the 3' end, to which the tRNAs corresponding amino acid is attached (by aminoacyl-tRNA synthetases). tRNAs cope with the degeneracy of the genetic code in two manners: having more than one tRNA (with a specific anti-codon) for a particular amino acid; and 'wobble' base-pairing, i.e. permitting non-standard base-pairing at the 3rd anti-codon position. Lineage: Bacteria; Pseudomonadati; Bacteroidota; Bacteroidia; Bacteroidales; Bacteroidaceae. The record is from RNAcentral.